This 68-nucleotide transfer RNA is filed under the name Stichopus horrens (warty sea cucumber). RNAcentral's name for it is "tRNA-His". RNAcentral also lists the same sequence under 1 other name. The record is from RNAcentral. Lineage: Eukaryota; Metazoa; Echinodermata; Holothuroidea; Aspidochirotida; Stichopodidae.
AUCUAAGUAGUUUACUAAAAACACCAAUUUGUGGCAUUGGAGAUGACAAAUCUAAUUGUCUUUAGAUC